UGGGGAAUUUUGGACAAUGGGGGAAACCCUGAUCCAGCCAUCCCGCGUGUGCGAUGAAGGCCUUCGGGUUGUAAAGCACUUUUGGCAGGAAAGAAACGUCAUGGGUUAAUACCCCGUGAAACUGACGGUACCUGCAGAAUAAGCACCGGCUAACUACGUGCCAGCAGCCGCGGUAAUACGUAGGGUGCAAGCGUUAAUCGGAAUUACUGGGCGUAAAGCGUGCGCAGGCGGUUCGGAAAGAAAGAAGUGAAAUCCCAGAGCUCAACUUUGGAACUGCAUUUUUAACUACCGGGCUAGAGUGUGUCAGAGGGAGGUGGAAUUCCGCGUGUAGCAGUGAAAUGCGUAGAUAUGCGGAGGAACACCGAUGGCGAAGGCAGCCUCCUGGGAUAACACUGACGCUCAUGCACGAAAGCGUGGGGAGCAAACAGG
This 429-nucleotide ribosomal RNA is filed under the name Acidobacteriota bacterium. RNAcentral describes it as "Acidobacteria bacterium partial 16S ribosomal RNA". It matches the Rfam family "Bacterial small subunit ribosomal RNA", at positions 355 to 776 of the family's 1533-position model. Lineage: Bacteria; Pseudomonadati; Acidobacteriota. The record is from RNAcentral.